Molecule: ribosomal RNA, 724 nt
Filed under: uncultured bacterium
Lineage: Bacteria
Description: bacterial SSU rRNA
Rfam family: Bacterial small subunit ribosomal RNA
Source: RNAcentral
GUGCCAGCCGCCGCGGUAAUACGUAGGUGGCAAGCGUUGUCCGGAUUUAUUGGGCGUAAAGCGAGCGCAGGCGGUUUCUUAAGUCUGAUGUGAAAGCCCCCGGCUCAACCGGGGAGGGUCAUUGGAAACUGGGAGACUUGAGUGCAGAAGAGGAGAGUGGAAUUCCAUGUGUAGCGGUGAAAUGCGUAGAUAUAUGGAGGAACACCAGUGGCGAAGGCGGCUCUCUGGUCUGUAACUGACGCUGAGGCUCGAAAGCGUGGGGAGCGAACAGGAUUAGAUACCCUGGUAGUCCACGCCGUAAACGAUGAGUGCUAAGUGUUGGAGGGUUUCCGCCCUUCAGUGCUGCAGCAAACGCAUUAAGCACUCCGCCUGGGGAGUACGACCGCAAGGUUGAAACUCAAAGGAAUUGACGGGGGCCCGCACAAGCGGUGGAGCAUGUGGUUUAAUUCGAAGCAACGCGAAGAACCUUACCAGGUCUUGACAUCCUUUGACCACUCUAGAGAUAGAGCUUCCCCUUCGGGGGCAAAGUGACAGGUGGUGCAUGGUUGUCGUCAGCUCGUGUCGUGAGAUGUUGGGUUAAGUCCCGCAACGAGCGCAACCCUUAUUGUUAGUUGCCAUCAUUUAGUUGGGCACUCUAGCGAGACUGCCGGUGACAAACCGGAGGAAGGUGGGGAUGACGUCAAAUCAUCAUGCCCCUUAUGACCUGGGCUACACACGUGCUACA